AGUGAACGCUGGCGGUAGGCCUAACACAUGCAAGUCGAACGGCAGCACAGUAAGAGCUUGCUCUUACGGGUGGCGAGUGGCGGACGGGUGAGGAAUACAUCGGAAUCUACUUUUUCGUGGGGGAUAACGUAGGGAAACUUACGCUAAUACCGCAUACGACCUACGGGUGAAAGCAGGGGAUCUUCGGACCUUGCGCGAUUGAAUGAGCCGAUGUCGGAUUAGCUAGUUGGCGGGGUAAAGGCCCACCAAGGCGACGAUCCGUAGCUGGUCUGAGAGGAUGAUCAGCGACACUGGAACUGAGACACGGUCCAGACUCCUACGGGAGGCAGCAGUGGGGAAUAUUGGACAAUGGGCGCAAGCCUGAUCCGGCCAUACCGCGUGGGUGAAGAAGGCCUUCGGGUUGUAAAGCCCUUUUGUUGGGAAAGAAAAGCAGCAGGUUAAUACCCCGCUGUUCUGACGGUACCCAAAGAAUAAGCACCGGCUAACUUCGUG
Molecule: ribosomal RNA, 492 nt
Filed under: uncultured bacterium
Lineage: Bacteria
Description: partial 16S ribosomal RNA
Rfam family: Bacterial small subunit ribosomal RNA
Source: RNAcentral